This 508-nucleotide ribosomal RNA is filed under the name uncultured bacterium. RNAcentral's name for it is "bacterial SSU rRNA". It matches the Rfam family "Bacterial small subunit ribosomal RNA", at positions 37 to 518 of the family's 1533-position model. The record is from RNAcentral.
UGGCGGCGUGCCUAAUACAUGCAAGUCGAACGGUCUUUCUAUGGAAGCUGCUUCCACUGAGAAGAUAGUGGCGAACGGGUGAGGUAACACGUGGGUAACCUGCCCAUAAGAGGGGGAUAACAUCCGGAAACGGGUGCUAAUACCGCAUAGUUUCUUGAUCGCAUGAUCGGGAAAGGAAAGACGGCCUUUGUGCUGUCGCUUAUGGAUGGACCCGCGGCGUAUUAGUUAGUUGGUGAGGUAACGGCUCACCAAGACGAUGAUACGUAGCCGACCUGAGAGGGUGAUCGGCCACAUUGGGACUGAGACACGGCCCAAACUCCUACGGGAGGCAGCAGUAGGGAAUCUUCCGCAAUGGACGAAAGUCUGACGGAGCAACGCCGCGUGAGUGAAGAAAAGGUUUUCGGAUCGUAAAACUCUGUUGUCAGAGAAGAACAAGUUGGAGAGUAACUGCUCCAGCCUUGACGGUAUCUGACCAGAAAGCCACGGCUAACUACGUGCCAGCAGCCGC